GAUGAACGCUGGCGGCGUGCCUAAUACAUGCAAGUCGAGCGAACAGACGAGGAUCUUGCUCCUCUUACGUUAGCGGCGGACGGGUGAGUAACACGUGGCUAACCUACCUAUAAGACUGGGAUAACUUCGGGAAACCUGAUCUAAUAUCGGUUAAUAUAUUGAACCUCAUGGUUCUAUAGUGAUAGACCUUUUUGCUGUCACUUAUAGAUGUAUCCUCGUCGCAUUAGCUAGUUGGUACGGUAACGGCUUACCAAGGCAACGAUGCGUAGCCGACCUGAGAGGGUGAUCGGCCACACUGGAACUGAGACACGGUCCAGACUCCUACGGGAGGCAGCAGUAGGGAAUAUUCCGCAAUGGGCGAAAGCUUGACGGAGCAACGCCGCGUGAGUGAUGAAGGUCUUCGGAUCGUAAAACUCUGUUAUUAGGGAAGAACAAAUGUGUAAGUAACUAUGCACGUCUUGACGGUACCUAAUCAGAAAGCCACGGCUAACUACGUG
RNAcentral lists this ribosomal RNA (497 nucleotides) under uncultured bacterium. RNAcentral's name for it is "partial 16S ribosomal RNA". It matches the Rfam family "Bacterial small subunit ribosomal RNA", at positions 28 to 507 of the family's 1533-position model. The record is from RNAcentral.